RNAcentral lists this ribosomal RNA (93 nucleotides) under uncultured bacterium. RNAcentral's name for it is "partial 16S ribosomal RNA". It matches the Rfam family "Bacterial small subunit ribosomal RNA", at positions 1388 to 1482 of the family's 1533-position model. The record is from RNAcentral.
CACCGCCGUCACACCACGAAAGUCAAUUUCACCAGAAGUCACUGUGCUAACCGCAAGGAGGCAGGUGCCAAGGUGAGGUCGAUGAUUGGGGUG